This 253-nucleotide ribosomal RNA is filed under the name uncultured bacterium. RNAcentral describes it as "partial 16S ribosomal RNA". It matches the Rfam family "Bacterial small subunit ribosomal RNA", at positions 524 to 776 of the family's 1533-position model. The record is from RNAcentral.
UACAGAGGUCCCAAGCGUUGUUCGGAUUCACUGGGCGUAAAGGGUGCGUAGGUGGUCGGGUAAGUUUGAUGUGAAAUCUCGAAGCUCAACUUCGAAACUGCAUUGAAUACUAUUCGGCUAGAGGGUCGGAGGGGGGACUGGAAUUCUCGGUGUAGCAGUGAAAUGCGUAGAUAUCGAGAGGAACACCAGUGGCGAAGGCGAGUCCCUGGACGACUCCUGACACUGAGGCACGAAAGCUAGGGGAGCAAACAGG